UUGUGUUCUACUUCAAUUUUUAUGUUGUUCUAUUUCAAUUUUAUAUAUGCACACCACCUGUUUGAUAAAAUUUUGUUGUGAUUCUCAUCAACAUUAGAAGCUAUGGUGCAAAAAGGCAGUCCAGACUGUUGAUUUAUUUUAUAGUUACCGAACGCUGAGGUGAAUUUUGGCGUUUUUGUUAAAUUUUGUAUGAAACUUGAUUUUUUGACCUUUCGUAUUUAUUUUGUUAAUUUGUUUCAGAGGUAUAAUGUUGUGUUUGAGAGCUUUGAGUGCUUCCCGUGACCUUCUAUGUUUUGUGUUUCCUGGCAGCAAGGAGAUUUCCAGGAAGUAUGAACAUUUGCAAUGUUCUAUUUUAGUCAUUGCAUUAUAUGUGAUUGUUUUUGUUAUUAAUAGAAAGUGUUAAGUAAACAUUAUAUGGGGUGUCUUUUUGUGGCUUAUAGUUAACCGAUUGUUAUUAGUAGAGAGUGUUAAGCAACACAUUCAAUUUAUUUGUCCAUCUUUAUCAUUGAUUUCAAAAAAAUACGAAGGAGGUGGGAGGAAUGAUGACUGAAUAAUGCAGCCAGCUACCAAAACUGUAAUGCUUAUGAAGUUAAAAUUUACCCCAAAUAAAUUG
RNAcentral lists this long non-coding RNA (613 nucleotides) under Trifolium pratense (red clover). Its description in RNAcentral is "long non-coding RNA (TPRA_LNC006155)". Lineage: Eukaryota; Viridiplantae; Streptophyta; Magnoliopsida; Fabales; Fabaceae. The record is from RNAcentral.